UUUUUUUUUUUUUUUUUUUGUUUGCCAUCCGGUUUUAGAGUCCACAUGGAAGCUCGACUAAAUUCAGAUCGCAUUGUGCAGAGUCCAUUUGGAAGUGCUCCCAACAGAAUUUUGUUCAUACCCAAGGCUCGAACUCGAGACUUCUGAUUAAGGAUGAAACAAUUUCACCACUGCACCACAACCCGGUCGGUACCUUGUUGGUAGUUCAAUUGCCAGUUGGAAAUCCCCUUCUUCUGUACCUUAAUUUAUUAAAAGAAAAAAAGGUGAAAUACAAAUUACUUAACUACACUCCUUUACUUACCUUAAUAUCCAUUUAUCCCUACUUAUUUCAAAAUUUUCAAAAAUCCCUUAUUUACCUAUGUAUCCCGCAUGUAUCCCGUGCACAACGCUAUGUAUCCCGCUAUGUGAAAUGUAUCAAACCUAAUGUAUCCCGUGUACAACGCUAUGUAUCCCGCAAACAUCAUUUUUAAGGGAUUUUUGGUAAAUAAAAAACUAGAAGGGAUAGGAUGUUAUUUAGUACUUAUAAUAUGUGGUUCCUAUAAUUUAUACUAAAAUUUAUGCAAAGCAACUUUUGUCGAAGUUCAACUACCACGAAGAAGAGAGGGAGGAGUGGAGAAGAGCGCAACUCUUCUUUGUACUUUGCAGGUACUCAGAAAAAUCCUCUUUUUUCUUUCUUUCUAAUUUCUGAAGCUUUCUUCAAUAAUUUGAUCCGUUUUCACAUGAUGUCAAGUUUGAAUCUGAAUUAUAAAUUGUUCUUACUUAUUGCUGCUCCUUCAUCUUGGAUUUAUCUUCCUUGUUACAAAGGAUUUGUUCUAUACCUAAACAAAUUUGAGUGAUUAAUUUGUUACUCCUUGUUUCAAUUUGUUUGUCUAGUUUUGACUUAAUACGGAGUUUAAGAAACUAAAUACUUCAUCCGUCUCAUUUUAUAUGUGUUAGUUAGACUUGCCACCAAGCUUAAGAAAAAGAGGAACACUUUUCUUUUUUUUAUACCAGACUAAAAAAGAAAGUGAGUCAUGGGACAGGGGGAGUACAACUUUUUGAUCUAAUGAUGUUGAAUUAAAGGUACGUGAAAUGUGUCAAAAUGCUCAUUAAUCUCAUGUCUUGAACAUGUCAUAUGGGAAGUUGGGAACUAAAGAGUGAGACAAAUAAAUUGAAAUGAAAGGGAGUACAUUUUUUGAUCAAUGUAUAUGAAAACUCUGACCUCACUAAUAAGUAAUAGCUCAAACAGUUAGAUUGACCUAAAGCUGGUUAUUUUAGGACGGAAAGGUUGACAUUUUUCUGAGUCUCUUGAUUCAUACUAGUUGUAUAAGCAGGGGCAGAGCUAGAGUCUAAUUACGGUUUUGGUAGGACUUAGUAGCUUUAGUAUUUAACUUAAGAAAUUCACCUAGUAUGCAAAAACUUCUAAAAUUCAGAACCCAUAAACGCAAUAUUCUGGAUCCAUCUCUAAGUAUAAGACCCUGUUUUGACACUUGAAUAGACAGACAAGAUAAAAAAUCUACAAUGCGAGAAAUGUAACAUGUGAGUGCUCGUGUUUUGCAGGUGCAAGCUAAAUGGCAGGGGAGCCAGUUAACGUGAAUGAAUUCCAAGAGCUUGCUAGGCAAGCCCUUCCGAAAAUGUACUACGACUACUAUACUGGAGGAGCUGAGGACCAACACACCCUUAAAGAAAAUGUAGAAUCAUUUCCUAGAAUCAUGUAAGUUUGUAAUUUCUCGCUGUUGAUUUAGCCACAGACAUAUAUCUAUCACUAACUUCUCAAAAACUCAGUAUUCGGCCUAGAAUACUUGUUGAUGUGAGCAAGAUAGAUAUGUCAACUACUAUUCUAGGUCACAAGACGUCAGCUCCUAUUAUGAUUGCCCCAACGGCCAAGCAUAAAUUGGCACAUCACGAAGGUUUGUAUUAAAUCAAUUAGCACCCUAGUCACUUAGCUGAACAUACAAUGUAGCUCUGAUUCCAUCAAACUGUUGUAUUUAUGCCAGGAGAAGUUGCAACAGCGAGAGGAGCUGCAGCAUGUGAUGUUAUUAUGGUACUUCCUCCAUGUUUGUCUUGUUUUCCCUUUUGUCCAUUUCAAAAAAAAAAAACCUCUACAAGAUUAAAGGGCAUUGGUAAAUUCCACAUAUCUUUAGUUUAAGACCACACGAUUCAAGAGUCCUCUAUUUUCUUAAACUUCGUGUCAAGUCAAAACUAGGCAAACAAAUUAAAACAGAGGAGUAAUAUUUUUCCAAAGCGGAUCAAUUUCAAAUUCUGGUGUGUGGAUACUGAGUUCUCUUGGUUAUAGGGACUGUCAUACAUGUCAACCUGCACAGUGGAGGAGGUUGCUACCAGCUGCAAUGCUGUUCGCUUUUUCCAAAUAUACGUAAAAUUUCUUCUCAACUAUCAUGAUCUCCAUGUAUCUUUACUGGUUUUUAUGUAUUGAAACAGAAUGUUACAUUUCAUUUGUCAAUAGGUUUACAAAAGAAGGGAUAUAACAGCACUUAUGGUACGUAGAGCUGAGAAGAAUGGAUUUGGGGCUAUUAUUCUUACAGCUGAUACUCCGAGACUUGGUAGAAGGGAGGCAGAUAUAAAGAAUAAGUAAGCUAUAUAUCUUUUUGAUGUCACUCAAGUGUAGCUAAAAUCCUUUUCAUCGUUUUCUUCAAUCUUGUCUGGUUAGAAAUUAGUUUCAUCAUUCCACACUUUUAAGGAACUUUUUGUGUAGUUUUGGUACUCCUGAGUUGAUCUAGAAAGAAAAGAGUCACAAUUGCAGGAUGAUCGCACCUCAGUUGAAGAACUUCGAAGGUCUUAUAUCAACUGAAUAUGUUUCUGUAAGUAAAACCAUAUAUUCUGGCUUUACAGACAAAUCACUUUUCAAACUGAAAGAGGAGAAUUUCAAACUCUCUUAGGAAACAAAAUUUAUUCUAUGACUGAAAUGACCAUAAUUUGCUAUUUUUUUCUACUAAAUCUGGAGUUCUUUCUGAAUGAUUCAUUCAUUUUAUCUUUCCAUUUGUUCAGGGUGGAUGUUGACGCUAGGAUUAGCUUCAACAAUUGCCAUGCCAGAACACAUGCUAUCACUCCUAAAAUAAAGUUCCUUGAGUACCAAACACUUAGGUCAUGUUUUUCACAAGUAAUGCAAACUGAAAUGGUUAAUUUGACUAUGAAGUAGAAACUAUAAAGUAGGUACUUCUUUUGCUGCCCAGUAGGUAGAACCUAAGUUUCCAUCAAUGGAAAUACAGUUUUGACUUGCAAAUUAGCUGAUCUCUUCACUAGUUGUUAACUUGCUAUGAUGCUUGAGUUUGGGAAAAGAUACUUCUACGUAUUACAAUGUAUUUGGUAACAAUGACACAGGCUUUCCCCUAAGCAUUGCUUCUCUUUUCCCCCUUUUUUUCUCGUUUGAACCUGAAAUUACAUCCUCAUCAGUAGGAUAUUUGUCUAGAGAAGUUAAUCCAUUUGACUGCACUGGUGUGCUACUUCAGUUUGUUGAAUAUGAUGCACAACGCUUCUCCACUCAUCUAUGUGUUGCUGCUUUAUAUGCUUUCACGUUCUUCUUCAUUAGUUUGAUAUGCAGAACAUCGUAAUCUAUCAACUUGGAAAUGGUAUAGUUCAUGCUUACUGAUCGAUCUACUAAUAAAACUCUACAGGACAAGGGCUCAAAUAUUGAAGCCUUAGCUGCAGGAACUUUUGAUGCUUCUCUUUGUUGGAAGGUACAAAGUUUAAAGUUUAUUCAUUUUUUUUCCUUAAUAUACCACAUGAGAACACUGGAUGAUAUUAUAUCAUUGAUAUACACUCUUGGUCCUAGAACAAACAUUUUGGUUGAGGAUGUCAACAUAUGUCAAAAUAAGUAAAUUGUUGAGCUACAAAGUACAUUUAGAAGAAUCAGAUUCUCAUUUUUUACCAAAAAUACAAAUAUGAUCAACUGCAUUCUUUUUUCGAAUCUUUUAUGAUCCAAAAACUUUGCAGGAUAUAGAGUGGUUAAAAUCAAUUACCAAGUUGCCAAUUCUGAUUAAGGGCAUUCUGACUUCUGAAGAUGGUAUUUAUUACUGAACCCUCGAUGUCUGCAUAGUUUAGUUUUGUGCACUGAUUAUGUAUCUAAGAGCAUGUACAAAGCAAAUGGCCAUGAAAGCUGGAGGUUGGUAUUAAGUUGUAAAUUGUACGUGGGGAAGUUCAGAAGGGAGCUGGUGAAUGCAAAAAUCUGAUAGUAACUGCAGUCAAGUAAGGAAAAUAGAGGUACAAACAAACAUCAUGAAGAACAUAGUCACAAAUCUUUUAGGGAGAAAUUCUCAGGAAUAUGAAUUCUAGUACUUAAGCUAGACAAAAAAGAGGUUUCUUCCAGAUACUUGCCAUCAUUCACCAAAAUAAACUCUCUUUUUUUUCAAUCAACUUUUGUUUUUCUACGACAGAGGAGGGUGGUAGAGGUGGAUCUUAAGCUUCUUACAACAAUCCAAAUUUUCCCAACUCAAGGGUCUCACUAAUUAGAUGUUACCUUUUAGUACAUGCUAGGAGUUUUAUUAAUUUGUUAGCUAUUUGUAUGUCAAUUGGAUAUACAGAGAACUCUUAGUGAUAGAGAACCUAAUUUACUGAUAUUGGAAUGAGGUUGGUUCAAAUUGAGCAAAACAGAUAGCGAGGAUGCAUAUAGCUGACUCCGACUAACUUGUGAUUGAGGCGUUGUUGCUGUUCUCAGUAAUUGAGCAUCUAUUCUAAAAACAUGGCAUAUGCUUCUGUUUUGCAGCAAUAAAAGCGAUUGAAGCAGGAGUUGCAGGAAUCAUUGUCUCUAACCAUGGAGCUCGGCAACUAGAUUAUGCUCCAACUACUAUAUCUGUUCUUGAAGAGGUUAUUCCCUACCUUAAUAUGUUUAAUGUUGUCUUUUAUAGAAUGUUGAUAAAUUCAAUGGAUUAGCUUUUUAGACUUUUUUAACAGUAAUGUUAGGCAUAGCACAAAAGUUUGUCAGUAUAGAACUCUCAAUUCUUGUUUACAAAAAAUUAAACCACAGAUACAACAUACCUUGGAGGAAAUAUAUAAAUUCUAUGACCUAUCAAAUGUAUAGCAAAGACUCCUGGAGAUGGUUGAAUGCAGCUUCCUGUCAUGUUUGAGUUCCACAGCAAGAUCAAUUGGGUCCUUACAUCAAGCUAGUUAUUGGAGUCAACUUUGUCUUUCACAUUCACAAGUUUAAUCCUUUGUAUUUGAUUGGAUAUCUAAGAAAAAUUGUAUUUGAAAUCCAAACUCGAAUCACAGGUCCAAGCGGAAACAUAACAUUUCUGCAUGUGUAUAAUAUCCACAUAUCUCAAUGGUUUCACCAUUUCAGGUUGUCCAUGCUGUUCAAGGUAAAGUUCCAGUAUUUUUCGAUGGAGGAGUGAGGCGAGGAACAGACAUAUUCAAGGCCUUAGCUCUUGGUGCAAAAGCUGUUCUGGUGAACUUAUUUGAAAAAUCUUACUUCAAUUUCUAAGCUCUACCUUGUUCCUACCAGGGAUUUGGCCUUUUGUUAAUAUAAAGCAUAUACCUGCAGAUUGGUCGAGCAGUUAUCUAUGGCCUGGCAGCUAAGGGGGAGCUGGGGGUAAAGCAGGUUAUUCAAAUGCUCAAGGAUGAAUUUGAGUUAACAAUGGCCCUUUCUGGCUGCUGCAGUGUCGACGACAUAACAAGAAGCCAUGUGAAAACAGAGAAAGAAAGGUUCAUUUGUAGGAUGUAGUUUCAUCCUGAAAGCUGCUAAGUAUAUUUCCUUUAAAUACAGGACCAAGCUCCAAUUCUGCAAUUGUGUUAAAAUCAUAAGCAAAUUUUUAAGUGAGAAGUGUUGUCAAAUCUACGAUAGUGUCACAUCCCUCGUUCCUUUUUGUCUCCCCAUCAAUUGUGAUUGUGCUCGAAUGCUGAAAACUAUGAUUUGGAAUUCCCUUUCCGCUAUAUAUAUACACUGUCACAAUGCAUUAUGCUCUCAAAUCGUCUACAGAUUGGAUCCUGCUUGGACGAAACAAAAUAUAUAGCCAAUAUAUAUAAAUAGAACUGCGUCUUGCUCAUUAGCAUCUUGCCAUCCACGACGUACCCCAAGGCCUAAAAAUCAAAGCUGAGAAGUGUAGCUCAUUUUUCUCCAUUGUGAUGAAAAAUGUUUUUUCUUUAGGUGAAUAUUUCAACAGCAUUAGGCAAAAACAGUCUUCAAGCGAUCUACUCAGUCUCAGUGGAAAACAUACCAAGCACAAACUCGAUAGAAAUUCACCUUCAAACCUGAUUCUCAUAUCCAUCAAAGUUUCGGCAGUACAAACAUUAACCUCAACACACUUGAACAAAAUAAUUAUUUGAAUGAAGUAUAAAGAAGAUGGAAAAAAUCAUUUGAAGUUUUAAAUAUAUAACUCUCUAAAUGUGAUGCUACUACUGCAUGAAGAAAAUAUGAACAAGAACAAUGGAGUGAACAUAAAACUCGCAGUAUACACUCGCCUUACGAAAUCAAAGACAUAAAAUGUUCGAAAUCAAAGACAUAAAAUGUUCACCUCAUAAUAUUCAUACAUGUGAGUACCGCAUUACCAAGCCUUGAUUUCGAAAACAGAAUACAAGAAAAUCUAGACAUUUAUAAAAACUCAUCUAGUCUAAAAGAAAGGCAAUGAAAUGUCAAGACAUAUUUCUGC
Molecule: long non-coding RNA, 6578 nt
Filed under: Solanum tuberosum (potato)
Lineage: Eukaryota; Viridiplantae; Streptophyta; Magnoliopsida; Solanales; Solanaceae
Description: long non-coding RNA (STUB_LNC004244)
Source: RNAcentral